AAAUUGAAGAGUUUGAUCAUGGCUCAGAUUGAACGCUGGCGGCAGGCCUAACACAUGCAAGUCGAGCGGUAGCACAGAGAGCUUGCUCUCGGGUGACGAGCGGCGGACGGGUGAGUAAUGUCUGGGAAACUGCCUGAUGGAGGGGGAUAACUACUGGAAACGGUAGCUAAUACCGCAUAACGUCGCAAGACCAAAGUGGGGGACCUUCGGGCCUCAUGCCAUCAGAUGUGCCCAGAUGGGAUUAGCUAGUAGGUGGGGUAACGGCUCACCUAGGCGACGAUCCCUAGCUGGUCUGAGAGGAUGACCAGCCACACUGGAACUGAGACACGGUCCAGACUCCUACGGGAGGCAGCAGUGGGGAAUAUUGCACAAUGGGCGCAAGCCUGAUGCAGCCAUGCCGCGUGUGUGAAGAAGGCCUUCGGGUUGUAAAGCACUUUCAGCGGGGAGGAAGGCGGUGAGGUUAAUAACCUCAUCGAUUGACGUUACCCGCAGAAGAAGCACCGGCUAACUCCGUGCCAGCAGCCGCGGUAAUACGGAGGGUGCAAGCGUUAAUCGGAAUUACUGGGCGUAAAGCGCACGCAGGCGGUCUGUCAAGUCGGAUGUGAAAUCCCCGGGCUCAACCUGGGAACUGCAUUCGAAACUGGCAGGCUAGAGUCUUGUAGAGGGGGGUAGAAUUCCAGGUGUAGCGGUGAAAUGCGUAGAGAUCUGGAGGAAUACCGGUGGCGAAGGCGGCCCCCUGGACAAAGACUGACGCUCAGGUGCGAAAGCGUGGGGAGCAAACAGGAUUAGAUACCCUGGUAGUCCACGCCGUAAACGAUGUCGAUUUGGAGGUUGUGCCCUUGAGGCGUGGCUUCCGGAGCUAACGCGUUAAAUCGACCGCCUGGGGAGUACGGCCGCAAGGUUAAAACUCAAAUGAAUUGACGGGGGCCCGCACAAGCGGUGGAGCAUGUGGUUUAAUUCGAUGCAACGCGAAGAACCUUACCUGGUCUUGACAUCCACAGAACUUUCCAGAGAUGGAUUGGUGCCUUCGGGAACUGUGAGACAGGUGCUGCAUGGCUGUCGUCAGCUCGUGUUGUGAAAUGUUGGGUUAAGUCCCGCAACGAGCGCAACCCUUAUCCUUUGUUGCCAGCGGUCCGGCCGGGAACUCAAAGGAGACUGCCAGUGAUAAACUGGAGGAAGGUGGGGAUGACGUCAAGUCAUCAUGGCCCUUACGACCAGGGCUACACACGUGCUACAAUGGCAUAUACAAAGAGAAGCUACCUCGCGAGAGCAAGCGGACCUCAUAAAGUAUGUCGUAGUCCGGAUUGGAGUCUGCAACUCGACUCCAUGAAGUCGGAAUCGCUAGUAAUCGUAGAUCAGAAUGCUACGGUGAAUACGUUCCCGGGCCUUGUACACACCGCCCGUCACACCAUGGGAGUGGGUUGCAAAAGAAGUAGGUAGCUUAACCUUCGGGAGGGCGCUUACCACUUUGUGAUUCAUGACUGGGGUGAAGUCGUAACAAGGUAACCGUAGGGGAACCUGCGGUUGGAUCACCUCCUUACCUUAAAGAA
RNAcentral lists this ribosomal RNA (1550 nucleotides) under Klebsiella pneumoniae. Its description in RNAcentral is "bacterial SSU rRNA". It matches the Rfam family "Bacterial small subunit ribosomal RNA". Lineage: Bacteria; Pseudomonadati; Pseudomonadota; Gammaproteobacteria; Enterobacterales; Enterobacteriaceae. The record is from RNAcentral.